RNAcentral lists this ribosomal RNA (185 nucleotides) under uncultured bacterium. RNAcentral's name for it is "partial 16S ribosomal RNA". It matches the Rfam family "Bacterial small subunit ribosomal RNA", at positions 1316 to 1500 of the family's 1533-position model. The record is from RNAcentral.
CUACAUGAAGCUGGAAUCGCUAGUAAUCGCGAAUCAGAAUGUCGCGGUGAAUACGUUCCCGGGUCUUGUACACACCGCCCGUCACACCAUGGGAGUCGGAUAUGCCCGAAGCCGGUGACCUAACCGCAAGGAAGGAGCCGUCGAAGGUGGAGCCGAUGACUGGGGUGAAGUCGUAACAAGGUACC